RNAcentral lists this ribosomal RNA (690 nucleotides) under Escherichia coli. RNAcentral's name for it is "partial 23S ribosomal RNA". It matches the Rfam family "Bacterial large subunit ribosomal RNA", at positions 499 to 1191 of the family's 2925-position model. Lineage: Bacteria; Pseudomonadati; Pseudomonadota; Gammaproteobacteria; Enterobacterales; Enterobacteriaceae. The record is from RNAcentral.
UACCGUGAGGGAAAGGCGAAAAGAACCCCGGCGAGGGGAGUGAAAAAGAACCUGAAACCGUGUACGUACAAGCAGUGGGAGCCUCUUUAUGGGGUGACUGCGUACCUUUUGUAUAAUGGGUCAGCGACUUAUAUUCUGUAGCAAGGUUAACCGAAUAGGGGAGCCGAAGGGAAACCGAGUCUUAACUGGGCGUUAAGUUGCAGGGUAUAGACCCGAAACCCGGUGAUCUAGCCAUGGGCAGGUUGAAGGUUGGGUAACACUAACUGGAGGACCGAACCGACUAAUGUUGAAAAAUUAGCGGAUGACUUGUGGCUGGGGGUGAAAGGCCAAUCAAACCGGGAGAUAGCUGGUUCUCCCCGAAAGCUAUUUAGGUAGCGCCUCGUGAAUUCAUCUCCGGGGGUAGAGCACUGUUUCGGCAAGGGGGUCAUCCCGACUUACCAACCCGAUGCAAACUGCGAAUACCGGAGAAUGUUAUCACGGGAGACACACGGCGGGUGCUAACGUCCGUCGUGAAGAGGGAAACAACCCAGACCGCCAGCUAAGGUCCCAAAGUCAUGGUUAAGUGGGAAACGAUGUGGGAAGGCCCAGACAGCCAGGAUGUUGGCUUAGAAGCAGCCAUCAUUUAAAGAAAGCGUAAUAGCUCACUGGUCGAGUCGGCCUGCGCGGAAGAUGUAACGGGGCUAAACCAUG